AGUCCCUUCUCUGUUACGCCUGCUGCUUUCUCGCAAGAUAUCUUCAUACUUUCUCUAAUAGUCUGCCUUCUUUACCCAUGACUGUCUUGGUAAAUUCUUUUACCACUGGAGACGCUGGUCCCAGCCAGUUGCACCCAUGACAUUAUGGUGGCGCGUACAGGGACUGCUAGGGGACUCCUCCCUUACUUUCCCCCCUUUCCUCUCCUCCAACUCCAGGUUCCCGGUGGACAGCGUCCAAGCACGGAGACAAGUGAAGGUCCCCAGCCAGGGCCACUUCCUGGCGAACCAGAAGGUCUCAUAAUGAAGACUUCUGACGGCUGCCUCCCCCAUUAGGUGAGAGUUUGGAGUUUUGCCUUCAUUUUCAGUUUUCUGGAGGACAAACUCUAAUAGCCCUCUGGCAAUGGAUGGCACCUGGUGUAGCCUGAAGACCAGGAGGUGAACAGGUGUGGCCUUCUUGCCAGGGAGGGAGGAAGGCUCUCUCCUAUCCUUACUGGUCAAAAGUCCCCAGUCCCUAUGUGCAGCGUUGACUGCCAGUGGAAGUUAGACCAGGGCAAAUCUACACAUGUUUUGGGGGACUCAGGCCCCCUCUUUCUCUCUCUAAGUUCCCACAUGAAGACAGCCAGCCACUUUGCUUCGGACAUCUUAAGCCAGGUGAUCCCCGAUAGCGCCGAGAGGAAUUCGGCAGUUUCAACUUCAAAUGAUGAUGUGAACGGGAUGUCAGUAUCUCCCCAAUGAUGUCUGAUAUCUUUACAAACCUCCCCUGGAUUCAGUUGGGCACCAAUUUUGCCCUGACAUGUUCCCCCUCUCUGAUGAACCCCUUCCUCCAGCAAGAUCCAAUAUUGCAUUGAUCCUAAGAGCACCCCUUCAUAAAUAUACUGCAUGUGAGUCUCCAUCUCAGAAUCUGCUUCUCGGGGAUACUGUGACACAUUGUUUAUCCUUCCUUGGUGGACACAUAUUAAGGUAAAGCCACAACUGACUGUAUACCAUUCAUUAG
Non-coding RNA from Chlorocebus sabaeus (green monkey), 994 nucleotides. Lineage: Eukaryota; Metazoa; Chordata; Mammalia; Primates; Cercopithecidae. The record is from RefSeq and is a predicted model, not a curated record.